CCUACGGGAGGCAGCAGUAAGGAAUAUUGGUCAAUGGACGGAAGUCUGAACCAGCCAUGCCGCGUGCAGGAAGACGGCCCUACGGGUUGUAAACUGCUUUUGCAGGGGAAUAAACCCAGAUACGUGUAUCUGGCUGAAUGUACUCUGAGAAUAAGGAUCGGCUAACUCCGUGCCAGCAGCCGCGGUAAU
RNAcentral lists this ribosomal RNA (189 nucleotides) under uncultured bacterium. RNAcentral's name for it is "partial 16S ribosomal RNA". It matches the Rfam family "Bacterial small subunit ribosomal RNA", at positions 338 to 524 of the family's 1533-position model. The record is from RNAcentral.